RNAcentral lists this ribosomal RNA (1373 nucleotides) under Lactiplantibacillus argentoratensis. RNAcentral describes it as "bacterial SSU rRNA". It matches the Rfam family "Bacterial small subunit ribosomal RNA", at positions 57 to 1428 of the family's 1533-position model. Lineage: Bacteria; Bacillati; Bacillota; Bacilli; Lactobacillales; Lactobacillaceae. The record is from RNAcentral.
GCUUGCAUCACGAUUUACAUUUGAGUGAGUGGCGAACUGGUGAGUAACACGUGGGAAACCUGCCCAGAAGCGGGGGAUAACACCUGGAAACAGAUGCUAAUACCGCAUAACAACUUGGACCGCAGGUCCGAGCUUGAAAGAUGGCUUCGGCUAUCAUUUUUGGAUGGUCCCGCGGCGUAUUAGCUAGAUGGUGGGGUAACGGCUCACCAUGGCAAUGAUACGUAGCCCACCUGAGAGGGUAAUCGGCCACAUUGGGACUGAGACACGGCCCAAACUCCUACGGGAGGCAGCAGUAGGGAAUCUUCCACAAUGGACGAAAGUCUGAUGGAGCAACGCCGCGUGAGUGAAGAAGGGUUUCGGCUCGUAAAACUCUGUUGUUAAAGAAGAACAUAUCUGAGAGUAACUGUUCAGGUAUUGACGGUAUUUAACCAGAAAGCCACGGCUAACUACGUGCCAGCAGCCGCGGUAAUACGUAGGUGGCAAGCGUUGUCCGGAUUUAUUGGGCGUAAAGCGAGCGCAGGCGGUUUUUUAAGUCUGAUGUGAAAGCCUUCGGCUCAACCGAAGAAGUGCAUCGGAAACUGGGAAACUUGAGUGCAGAAGAGGACAGUGGAACUCCAUGUGUAGCGGUGAAAUGCGUAGAUAUAUGGAAGAACACCAGUGGCGAAGGCGGCUGUCUGGUCUGUAACUGACGCUGAGGCUCGAAAGUAUGGGUAGCAAACAGGAUUAGAUACCCUGGUAGUCCAUACCGUAAACGAUGAAUGCUAAGUGUUGGAGGGUUUCCGCCCUUCAGUGCUGCAGCUAACGCAUUAAGCAUUCCGCCUGGGGAGUACGGCCGCAAGGCUGAAACUCAAAGGAAUUGACGGGGGCCCGCACAAGCGGUGGAGCAUGUGGUUUAAUUCGAAGCUACGCGAAGAACCUUACCAGGUCUUGACAUACUAUGCAAAUCUAAGAGAUUAGACGUUCCCUUCGGGGACAUGGAUACAGGUGGUGCAUGGUUGUCGUCAGCUCGUGUCGUGAGAUGUUGGGUUAAGUCCCGCAACGAGCGCAACCCUUAUUAUCAGUUGCCAGCAUUAAGUUGGGCACUCUGGUGAGACUGCCGGUGACAAACCGGAGGAAGGUGGGGAUGACGUCAAAUCAUCAUGCCCCUUAUGACCUGGGCUACACACGUGCUACAAUGGAUGGUACAACGAGUUGCGAACUCGCGAGAGUAAGCUAAUCUCUUAAAGCCAUUCUCAGUUCGGAUUGUAGGCUGCAACUCGCCUACAUGAAGUCGGAAUCGCUAGUAAUCGCGGAUCAGCAUGCCGCGGUGAAUACGUUCCCGGGCCUUGUACACACCGCCCGUCACACCAUGAGAGUUUGUAACACCCAAAGUC